CCAAGGAGGUUUCAAUAAGUCCUUACGUAAAACUUAAAUUUACGCCGCGUUCCAGAGAGGGACAUAAAAUACUUCUUUUUUGGUGAAUAAUUUGUUGUUACUGCUUUAAAAAUAAUUUCAUUUACUUAAAACUAUAUAUUUAUUAAAGUAUUUCUUAGGAAAAAAAUUCUAGUAUAGCAGAAUAUAAGAAAUAAGGAGAAAAAGCUCCCCAAAACUCUAAGUAUGGCUUGUUCUGUCAACUUAUAUUCAUGGUAAAGUCCUAUUUCAAGGAAAUUUUCUCAUAAAAUGUAUUUUGGAGACUCAAUCCACUCAGAAUAUUUCAUUAUUUGUAAUAUUUCACUUAAAUAGCAAGAAAUUUUAACACAUGAGAGUACUCACAAGGUCAAAGGUGCAUGUACAGCUUCCCAUAUUAGGUGUAAUACCACCAUUGAUUUUCCCCUAUUAGUCUUUGUUAAAUUUGCAC
Molecule: long non-coding RNA, 463 nt
Organism: Mytilus californianus (California mussel)
Lineage: Eukaryota; Metazoa; Mollusca; Bivalvia; Mytilida; Mytilidae
Exons: 2
Source: RefSeq, a predicted model, not a curated record